GUGCUCACUUCGGCAGCAUAUAUACUAAAAUUGGAACGAUACAGAGAAGAUUAGCAUGGCCCCUGCACAAGGAUGACACCCAAAUUCGUGAAGCAUUCCAUAUUUUC
This is a small nuclear RNA of Rattus norvegicus (Norway rat), 107 nucleotides long. The record is from Ensembl. Lineage: Eukaryota; Metazoa; Chordata; Mammalia; Rodentia; Muridae.